RNAcentral lists this ribosomal RNA (425 nucleotides) under uncultured bacterium. RNAcentral's name for it is "partial 16S ribosomal RNA". It matches the Rfam family "Bacterial small subunit ribosomal RNA", at positions 354 to 796 of the family's 1533-position model. The record is from RNAcentral.
GUGGGGAAUCUUGCGCAAUGGGCGCAAGCCUGAUCCAGCCAUGCCGCGUGAGUGAUGAAGGCCUUAGGGUUGUAAAGCUCUUUCAGUGGGGACGAUAAUGACGGUACCCACAGAAGAAGCCCCGGCUAACUUCGUGCCAGCAGCCGCGGUAAUACGAAGGGGGCUAGCGUUGUUCGGAUUUACUGGGCGUAAAGCGCACGUAGGCGGAUCGUUAAGUCGGGGGUGAAAUCCUGGAGCUCAACUCCAGAACUGCCUUCGAUACUGGCGAUCUUGAGUCCGGAAGAGGUGAGUGGAACUCCGAGUGUAGAGGUGGAAUUCGUAGAUAUUAGGAAGAACACCAGUGGCGAAGGCGGCUCACUGGUCCGGUACUGACGCUGAGGUGCGAAAGCGUGGGGAGCAAACAGGAUUAGAUACCCCAGUAGUCC